This 263-nucleotide ribosomal RNA is filed under the name uncultured archaeon. RNAcentral's name for it is "partial 16S ribosomal RNA". It matches the Rfam family "Archaeal small subunit ribosomal RNA", at positions 748 to 1009 of the family's 1478-position model. The record is from RNAcentral.
UAGCCGUAAACGAUACUCGCUAGGUGUCGGCCACGGUGCGACCGUUGUCGGUGCCGUAGGUAAGCCGUGAAGCGAGCCACCUGGGAAGUACGGCCGCAAGGCUGAAACUUAAAGGAAUUGGCGGGGGAGGCACCACAACGGGUGGAGCUUGCGGUUUAAUUUGGACUCAACGCCGGAAACUACAUCGGGAGCGACAGCAGUAUGAUUGCCAGGUUGAUGACCUUGCUUGACAAGCUGAGAGGAGGUGCAUGGCGUAGUCGUGU